This 389-nucleotide ribosomal RNA is filed under the name uncultured bacterium. RNAcentral describes it as "bacterial SSU rRNA". It matches the Rfam family "Bacterial small subunit ribosomal RNA", at positions 28 to 419 of the family's 1533-position model. The record is from RNAcentral.
AACGAACGCUGGCGGCGUGCUUAACACAUGCAAGUCGAGCGGUAAGGCCCUUUCGGGGGUACACGAGCGGCGAACGGGUGAGUAACACGUGGGUGACCUGCCCUCAGCUCUGGGAUAAGCCUGGGAAACCGGGUCUAAUACCGGAUAUGACUCCAUGACGCAUGUUGUGGGGUGGAAAGCCUUGUGCGGCUGAGGAUGGGCCCGCGGCCUAUCAGCUCGUUGGUGGGGUGAUGGCCUACCAAGGCGACGACGGGUAGCCGGCCUGAGAGGGCGACCGGCCACACUGGGACUGAGACACGGCCCAGACUCCUACGGGAGGCAGCAGUGGGGAAUCUUGCGCAAUGGGCGAAAGCCUGACGCAGCGACGCCGCGUGAGGAUGACGGCCUGU